GACGAACGCUGGCAGCGUGCCUAAUACAUGCAAGUAGAACGCUGAAGAGAGGAGCUUGCUCUUCUUGGAUGAGUUGCGAACGGGUGAGUAACGCGUAGGUAACCUGCCUUGUAGCGGGGGAUAACUAUUGGAAACGAUAGCUAAUACCGCAUAACAAUGGAUGACACAUGUCAUUUAUUUGAAAGGGGCAAUUGCUCCACUACAAGAUGGACCUGCGUUGUAUUAGCUAGUAGGUGAGGUAAUGGCUCACCUAGGCGACGAUACAUAGCCGACCUGAGAGGGUGGUCGGCCACACUGGGACUGAGACACGGCCCAGACUCCUACGGGAGGCAGCAGUAGGGAAUCUUCGGCAAUGGGGGCAACCCUGACCGAGCAACGCCGCGUGAGUGAAGAAGGUUUUCGGAUCGUAAAGCUCUGUUGUAAGUCAAGAACGGGUGUGAGAGUGGAAAGUUCACACUGUGACGGUAGCUUACCAGAAAGGGACGGCUAACUACGUG
Molecule: ribosomal RNA, 497 nt
Filed under: uncultured bacterium
Lineage: Bacteria
Description: partial 16S ribosomal RNA
Rfam family: Bacterial small subunit ribosomal RNA
Source: RNAcentral